Lotus japonicus is the source of this 5759-nucleotide long non-coding RNA. RefSeq lists it as uncharacterized. The record is from RefSeq and is a predicted model, not a curated record. The transcript has 5 exons. Lineage: Eukaryota; Viridiplantae; Streptophyta; Magnoliopsida; Fabales; Fabaceae.
GAACCAUUAAAUGAGAAACCCCAUUCUUUGAUUAAUAGGCUAAAAACUGAAAUAAGUAAUUGGGCUUUUACAAUUGAAGUCCAAAAUAAUUAGGAGGUGACACUUGUCACGUAAAGAGGGGGGGUGGUGGAGAGUGGGUCUUGGAAUGCCAUGUCAUGGAGGUGGGGCUCAUAGCCUUCCUCUUUUCUAUAAUAUAUAGAUUUGCAGUAUCUGUUAUCGAUUCCCUAGUAACGUGUUAUAGGGGAAUUGUGAAACGACUCGUUUUGAGUUAAAAAAAAAAGAUUUGAAUAGUAUAUAUACAUAUUUAUAUAAAUAUAAAAGAUAAGAAAAAAAAAACUAUCUUAAUUGGUUUUUAAACACCCCGUAACCCCCCAGUACCCAUUUCUUUUCCAAAAGCUAUAUCACACACUCUCUCUCUUUUUCUAUUUUUCUUCUUCGUCUUUCUCUCGUUGACGGCACAUGGCUUCCCCCCUCCAUUUCUUCUUCUGUGUUCUUUUCUUCUCCACCAUGAACAAAACUAAUUACCACCAAGAAAAUUGCACAUUCAUGAAGAAAGGUUUUGGUAUUCAUAUGGAAUGGCUUCGGAAAAAAAAAAUGUUUGGGAGUUAGGGUUUGUGUUCUGAAAGAGGAGAAGAGUACCCACUCUUUUAGGAUUGCUUAUUUGGCUUCAGUGAGAUUCGACGGCGAGUGGAUCGUUCGAUGGUCGUAGGAUUGCUGAAAGCAAUUGUGGUUAUUCUUCAUAGUUAUUUUCAGGCAACUGAGUAGCAGACCAUUGUCAGAUUCAGAUCAUUCGACUUAUUUCCUUUGACAGGUUGUCAUAUUGAUGUCUUUUCUUUAAUCCUGGUUAUCUGCAGCUAUAGGGAGUCCUAGGUGGAUUUAGAUUUGAGAUUUUGAUUUAUUAUUUUAUUUCAAGAGUUGACACUUGAGUGCUCGAGUUGAUUUUAUAUUUCACUUAAAAUACUGGUUAUGGAAGAACUUAUUGGCAGAUGUUGUUAAUUUGUAACUAUUGGAAUUACAAAAGAGAUUCUAGUGUUUUUAUAUAUGUGUACAAUGAUAUUUUUGAAUAAAUUGUUUGGAAAAUGAUUCGUUGAGGAAGAGGCUUGCCAGGCUAGGGUGGUAGUCUGGGCGCCGGUCACGACUUAGGAUUUUGGGUCGUGACAAAGUUGGUAUCAGAGCUUUGGCUGUAGGUCCUAAUAGCUGCAGACAUAAGGUAGAGAUAGAAUCUUUUUAGUAAAUUGUGAACCGCGGCACAACUUACUUUAAAGAUGCUAUUAACGCCUCAUGAGAGUCUUAGUGUUGUUUCCAAGUGUGAUUUGAGUUCGUUCCUCAUUCACAAAAUUCUGAGUCAUGUCUUAUAUUCAAUGAAUAUUCGUUGUUCAGUGAGGUUGCCACCUAAAUUUGAAUUUCUAUUAGAAGAUGAGGCUUCUUAUUAGGACCUUGUUUAAGGCGGUCGUGGUCGGCAUUGUAAUGUAAGCCUAGGACCAUUGCUGUUAGGCACUGGUUAUCCGUUGAAGUAGUCAAUGUAUAUGUGCUUUUAUCGAGGUAAUGAAAUUUAGGGAUGAUAUAGCUUGUGGUUGGUAUAGGGGAAUUAUAAGAUGAUUGCAAUGACGCGUUUGAGUGAUUUUUUGCCGCACAACCUACAUAAGGAAAUUACGAGCAAUAUCUUGAGGUUAGACAGAAGAGAGCAACAACAAGUAGUUACCACUAGAGAUACUAAGGUCACAUUAACUAGUUACUUGAAGCUUAACUAUCCUACUUUUGGUACUAGUGGAAGUGAGAAUCCACAUAGGAUUAGUGAUGCUUUGAGAGUCUAUAGAGAGCACUUGGAUUCUCACACAUGCAAUAGAACUAACAUUUUUCAGCUGGGAGUUGUAGCAUAUGAUUAGUUUGAUGACUCUACGCGUACGAGAGCGACAAGAUCACCUUCGUUAGCAUGGCUGAUUUUUCAUAGGGAUUCAUUGAUUGUUUUCUUUCGGAGAAUGUCAUAGAUGGUUUGACACAAGUGCUUGAUUUCUAGAGUAGACUGAGUACAAUGAUUUCAUAGGGUGGUUAUAGUGAACAAUCUUCAAGCCUUGUGGAGAUUCAUAUAAUAAAUUUUCUACGCCUUGUUUUGCUUGUCAAAAGAUUCAUGAUGUAGCUUUCUUUGGAGAAAGUAGGGUGUGCAAUUAGUGCAUGGAGAUAAGUCAUAUUAUGGAGGAUUGUCUUGUGGUUGUGGUGCAACUUCCUCUAGUCGUGGAUAAGCAUACAUAGGAGCGUCUUUAGCAUUUUCUCUGACCCUUACAACACUUGUGUGGCAUUUGGCUUUAGGAAUUUGUGGUGAUGCAAAGGUCACUUUGGACAUUCAUAAUCUUUGGGAAUAGAAUCUAGAGAAGUUUUAUAACCAAGUUAUUAAUGCUUAAUUGGAAUUGGUUUUGAAGCUUCAAUUUGCGAAAGGUGUUGAGUUAUUAAAAUGGCAGGUUGGAUGUGUGGCGUAAGAUCAUUGUUACAAUUUUAUUGGAUCAGAUUGGUACAAGGUUGCCUUGUAUCUUAUAGAAACGUUAGUUACAUUAGAUUAGUUUUAACAUGAUACUGAAAUUGACUCUUGGCUUAAGACUUUUUGUCGCGCUAUUCUUGGGAAAUAUUGAGAAAGAUAUGUGCUGUCAUAUAUACACGAAGAGACACAUAUUGAUAGAUAUGUAUAUAUAUAUAUUUUAAGUUUGAAUAUUACAUAUUGUGAUUCUUAUCAUUAUUACAUUCAAAUGCUUUGAAGGAGUUGUUGAUGGUUGAUUAUGUGCGCUAUUAAUUCGAGAUAUCCAUUGGGGAUUGAGAGUUGUUGGUAGAAAGCGUAGCUUUAGAAAUUGUUGAUUUUGGUGUGAUCUUUUGGUAUCAUGAUAUUUUGGACUAACAUAGCAAAGUAUAUGAGAUCUGAAUUACCUGGACAAUCAUCUUUCUCAUUCAGGGUGAGUGAAGUUGGGAACCAUAUAAUCUAAUUUUAGGGUCGAAGUUAGGAGGUUACUAAGGACGGGUUGUCAUGGAUACUUGACUUUGGAUAAGAGGACACUCAAUCAGUGGAAAUAAAAACAGAAGAGUUCUUUUUGUGGAGUGUGAAAUUCUUAAUGUAUUAUUGGAGAAUCUCUUGAAGUACCGGCUAGUAGGGGAAUAUAGUUUCCAUAAAAUUGGUUCUUGAUGCUAGUUUUGUUUGUGAAAAAGGAAGAUAGAACCAUGCAAUUAAGUACAUAAUGAACAACAAAAAAUCAGUUAACUUGCAUAGAGGAGUGAUCUGAUUGAUUGCAAUGAGCUCAAUAUUUUUGAAAAUAUGAGUUGUCACUUGUGUAGCAACAAAUUAGGAAUAGAAAAGAGGACAUUUUGAAGGUAAUCUUCAGAAUAUGUUGUGACUGUAAAGAGUUAUUAGUCAUUCUUAUGGACUUAGUGAUGCCACUUUUGUUUUUAUGGAUUUAAUGAGCCGCAUCUUUAAAUCAUUAUUGGGUUAUAUUCCUAAGAUAAGGAAUAACACUAGAAGUUGCUGAUAAUAGAUUUUGGUUUGGGUUUCUUGAUCCAACUCAUUGUUGGUUCACAUGGAAAUUGAUUCUCCUUCGGUUGAUGAUGUUAAAUAUGAUAAGGGUCAAGACCGGUAAGUGGUGAAGAUGGUGGAGGUUGUUCAAAGUGAAAAGGUUCCACAUUUUCAGUAGACUCUGAUGACAUUUUAUGACUUGGAUGAUAGUUGUGUGUGCUUAAUACACACAUUAGUGGACUUAUAUCAUUAUUAUUAUUCUUAAACCAUACAUUCAGAUUCUAAUCAAAAGGUAUUAAGAUGGGAAGAAAUUUUAUUAGUGGGAAAAGAUACAGAAAGACAUAGUAAUUUGUUUCUGCAUGUUUAGGAAGGCUACGCACAAAAGCCAUAAAUGUUCCUUCAAUAUAUUAAGAUAUCAUUGAGUAAGUGAGAAAAUAUUGUUAUGAACUUUGUGUUAGGUUUUCUUAUGACUUAAAUGCGUGAUGAUUUUGUAUCAGUGAUAAUGGGUCGAUUGACUGAGUAUGCACUCUUUUUGCCCAUGAAUAAUACUUAUACUGCAGCCAAUAUACUAAGCUCCACUAAGAUGAAAGUGAUUAUUUACAUGGUGAACAUGUGUUUAUCAUUAUUGAGGAGCUCAAUUCAUUGCACAAUUUUGGAAUUUUUUUUUUUUAUAUAUGCUUUAAGGACUUGCUUGAAUUUAAGGACUGUUUUAUUUCUCUUGAUUGCUAAUUUGAGUGGACUAUUAAUAUCUAGGAUGAUAUAUGCUUGUUUUGAGGUAAUGCACCUAGGAUAGUAAUGACUAGUCUUGCAUAAAGAAGGGACCACUUGAGGCCUUGUUUGGUAGGCGGGCAUAUCACUAAUAGGUUGAAUUGAAGAUGAGAAAGCUAAGCUUGUAGCUUGAAAAAUAUGUAGUAGAGAGCUCAGUUGGUUCAUGAUUGUUUGAUUACCUUAUAAUGAGAAAAAAAAAAAAGAGUCUUAUGCCAAUAGGAGACCACACCCUUUAAAGUGGACAAUUGGUGACUAUGUUUUUACGUGAUUCUCCGAUGAAAGAAGUUUUACGGUUUGGUAGUAAGGAAAAACCCGAGUCAAAGAUUCAUUGGAUUGUUGAGGUCUUAGAGAGGGAUGACCCUAUAGCUUAUCGAUUGACACUUAUGCCAAAUCUUUCUACAGUUCAUACAGUUUCAUGCGUAUAUGCUUCGGAAAUACCUCUAUGAUCAAUCUCUCAUUUUUUUUGUGAUGAGGAUGUAGAGUUAGGUGAACAUUUAUCUUAGAUGGAGUUACGGUAGCAAUAGUGGAUAGAAAUGGUGAGAUACCUAUGUUCUAAGAAUAUUAGUUCAAUGAAAGUUCUUUGGCGAGGACCAUCUAGUAAGAGAUGUCUUGGGAAGCUAGAGUAAUCAUAUGAGGGAAGCAUCUCUUGCUAUUGAAAACACAAGGUUGGUUAAAACUUCAAAAUUCGAGGACGAAUUUUUCUUAAGGAGGGAAGAUUGAAACGACUCGUUUUGAGUUAAAAAAAAAAAAAAGAUUUGAAUAGUAUAUAUACAUAUGUAUAUAAAUAUAAAAGAUAAGAAAAAAAAACUAUCUUAAUUGGUUUUUAAACACCCCGUAACCCCCCAGUACCCAUUUCUUUUCCAAAAGCUAUAUCACACACUCUCUCUCUUUUUCUAUUUUUCUUCUUCGUCUUUCUCUCGUUGACGGCAUAUGGCUUCCCCCCUCCAUUUCUUCUUCUGUGUUCUUUUCUUCUCCACCAUGAACAAAACUAAUUACCACCAAGAAAAUUGCACAUUCAUGAAGAAAGGUUUUGGUAUUCAUAUGGAAUGGCUUCGGAAAAAAAAAAUGUUUGGGAGUUAGGGUUUGUGUUCUGAAAGAGGAGAAGAGUACCCACUCUUUUAGAAUUGCUUAUUUGGCUUCAGGGAGAUUCGACGGCAAGUGGAUCGUUCGAUGGUCGUAGGAUUGCUGAAAGCAAUUGUGGUUAUUCUUCAUAGUUAUUUUCAGGCAACUGAGUAGCAGACCAUUGUCAGAUUCAGAUCAUUCGACUUAUUUCCUUUGACAGGUUGUCAUAUUGAUGUCUUUUCUUUAAUCCUGGUUAUCUGCAGCUAUAGGGAGUCCUAGGUGGAUUUAGAUUUGAGAUUUUGAUUUAUUAUUUUAUUUUAAGAGUUGACACUUGAGUGCUCGAGUUGAUUUUAUAUUUCACUUAAAAUACUGGUUAUGGAAGAACUUAUUGACAGAUGUUGUUAAUUUGUAACUAUUGGAAUUACAAAAGAGAUUCUAG